Molecule: long non-coding RNA, 784 nt
Filed under: Macaca mulatta (Rhesus monkey)
Lineage: Eukaryota; Metazoa; Chordata; Mammalia; Primates; Cercopithecidae
Description: lncRNA (ENSMMUG00000052359.1)
Source: RNAcentral
CCACAGAUGCCCGCGGGGGGAUGAGCUCACAGACACCCUCAUUGUCAUGGAGGCUGUGGGGUGUGUGGGUGGGGCUGAGGGGCUCCUGCCAUCCCUUUGCUGCUAGCCAGGCCUUGAUGAGGGGAGGGGAGCUGACUUCCUAGAGAUCGCGCCACGUGCCUUCCGCCAUUUGUGAAGAACCCGCCGAUGAAGCCCAGCCUCGGUGGUCAUAAAUUGGUGCCUGGCGAGAUGCCAGCGAUGUCCAACGUGAUCACUCUUCAGGUCCCACCACACCGAUGGACUGCCCCGCAGGACCUCACUGCUGGACUGCACCGCAGGACCGCACCGCCGGACCGCCCCGCUGUCCUGGCAGAUUCAUGGGAACUUCUGGAAAGUGAUGGGAAAAAGUGACGGGAGCCUGCAUCACACCUGGAGCCCAUCAAAGUGACGGAACAGCACUCCGAAGGCAUGAGCACUUCCUGGUAUGGAAAUCAUUCCUCGGUUUCCAAAAACAUCCACACUGGUUUUUCUACGAAUGGUGGGAUUUUAUUUAAUUAUAUUUUAUUGUUCAACCCUGUCUGUGUUUUGUAAGUUUUCUGAAUUUAAUUCUACCUAUUGAAAGAUGCCCAUCAUGUACUCAAGAAAAUCAACUUGGAGCAUUGAAAUAAAAUACAAAAAUUGGGGGAUGCAGCUAAAGCUUAAGGAGAAACUGAUUACUCCAAUGCCUAUAUUAGACAUGAAGAAAAAGUUUAAAAUCAAUUAUCUUUGCUUCCACUUUAGGGAGCUAGUUAAAAAAGAAAAAAUU